AUUAUAAUGAAGAGUUUGAUCCUGGCUCAGAGCGAACGCUGGCGGUAUGCUUAACACAUGCAAGUCGAGCGAGAAAAUGGCUUCGGCCAUGAGUACAGCGGCGGACGGGUGAGUAAUACAUGGAUAAUCUGCCUUUAGG
This 139-nucleotide ribosomal RNA is filed under the name Candidatus Dadabacteria bacterium. RNAcentral describes it as "partial 16S ribosomal RNA". It matches the Rfam family "Bacterial small subunit ribosomal RNA", at positions 1 to 136 of the family's 1533-position model. The record is from RNAcentral. Lineage: Bacteria; Pseudomonadati; Thermodesulfobacteriota; Candidatus Dadabacteria.